Molecule: ribosomal RNA, 513 nt
Filed under: Oenococcus oeni
Lineage: Bacteria; Bacillati; Bacillota; Bacilli; Lactobacillales; Lactobacillaceae
Description: bacterial SSU rRNA
Rfam family: Bacterial small subunit ribosomal RNA
Source: RNAcentral
GCGUAGAUAUGUGGAAGAACACCAGUGGCGAAAGCGGCUUGCUAGAUCGUAACUGACGUUGAGGCUCGAAAGUAUGGGUAGCAAACGGGAUUAGAUACCCCGGUAGUCCAUACCGUAAACGAUGGGUGCUAGUUGUUAAGAGGUUUCCGCCUCCUAGUGACGUAGCAAACGCAUUAAGCACCCCGCCUGAGGAGUACGGCCGCAAGGCUAAAACUUAAAGGAAUUGACGGGGACCCGCACAAGCGGUGGAGCAUGUGGUUUAAUUCGAAGAUACGCGAAAAACCUUACCAGGUCUUGACAUACCAAUGAUCGCUUUUGUAAUGAAAGCUUUUCUUCGGAACAUUGGAUACAGGUGGUGCAUGGUCGUCGUCAGCUCGUGUCGUGAGAUGUUGGGUUAAGUCCCGCAACGAGCGCAACCCUUGUUAUUAGUUGCCAGCAUUUAGUUGGGCACUCUAAUGAGACUGCCGGUGAUAAACCGGAGGAAGGUGGGGACGACGUCAGAUCAUCAUGCCC